UGGUUAUUUCUGGUAUUAAUAAGAGGCUUUGGCUUUUAUGUGGUGUCUAUGCAAACAUAGAUUAUAGAGUGUGGAGGGUGUCGUAGGAGGAGGGAUCGAGACUAGUAGACCAAGGUCUCCUCUUUCUUUUUGCAGGGGACUUCAAUUGCAUCAAUGGAUCCCAGGAGAAAAGAGGGGGUAGGCCUUUCUCAGACAAUAU
RNAcentral lists this long non-coding RNA (199 nucleotides) under Elaeis guineensis (African oil palm). Its description in RNAcentral is "long non-coding RNA (EGUI_LNC081615)". The record is from RNAcentral. Lineage: Eukaryota; Viridiplantae; Streptophyta; Magnoliopsida; Arecales; Arecaceae.